Molecule: ribosomal RNA, 427 nt
Filed under: uncultured bacterium
Lineage: Bacteria
Description: bacterial SSU rRNA
Rfam family: Bacterial small subunit ribosomal RNA
Source: RNAcentral
GACGAACGCUGGCGGCGUGCCUAACACAUGCAAGUCGAGCGGGGACCUUCGGGUCCUAGCGGCGGACGGGUGAGUAACACGUGGGUAACCUGCCUUGUAGAGGGGGAUAGCCUUCCGAAAGGAAGAUUAAUACCGCAUAACAUUGUAUCUUCGCAUGAAGGAACAAUCAAAGGAGUAAUCCGCUACAAGAUGGACCCGCGGCGCAUUAGCUAGUUGGUGAGGUAACGGCUCACCAAGGCGACGAUGCGUAGCCGGCCUGAGAGGGUGAACGGCCACAUUGGAACUGAGACACGGUCCAGACUCCUACGGGAGGCAGCAGUGGGGAAUAUUGCACAAUGGGCGAAAGCCUGAUGCAGCAACGCCGCGUGAGUGAUGAAGGCCUUCGGGUUGUAAAGCUCUGUCUUCUGGGACGAUAAUGACGGUACCA